UUUCCGUAGGUGAACCUGCGGAAGGAUCAUUAAAGUGGAUGAGAUGGUAGAUUUAUUACUAGUUUAGUUUUUUCUGGACUAGAAAAACAAUUAUUUUAACAAUAACUAUGAGAAUGAUACAUGAGCACCUUGCUGCAAUGGAUCUCUCGGCUCUU
This 155-nucleotide unclassified non-coding RNA is filed under the name plant metagenome. RNAcentral's name for it is "partial contains small subunit ribosomal RNA, internal transcribed spacer 1, and 5.8S ribosomal RNA". The record is from RNAcentral.